This 254-nucleotide long non-coding RNA is filed under the name Elaeis guineensis (African oil palm). RNAcentral describes it as "long non-coding RNA (EGUI_LNC046179)". The record is from RNAcentral. Lineage: Eukaryota; Viridiplantae; Streptophyta; Magnoliopsida; Arecales; Arecaceae.
ACCACCAACUCCUCAUAAAGCUGCAUCUUCUAAUCUAGAAGAGUUCAGGAGAUCUGAAGAAAGGAGUUUGGAUCAGCCAUCCAGUACCUUCAAUGCGAGCUAGCACUCCCGAAAAGGAUGAUCCGAUCAGGGCUUCGAGUGGACGAUCUGUAGAUACUGGAUGAUCUAUGCGGCUAUUUGACAUCAAUGAGAGCUUCAUACUGUGCCUACUAAUAGUGAAGAUCAUUGACCUGUGAUAAGGUGAUAAGUUUUGA